UGACCAGACUCCUACGGGAGGCAGCAGUGGGGAAUAUUGCACAAUGGGGGAAGCCCUGAUGCAGCGACGCCGCGUGAGCGAUGAAGUCUUUCGGUAUGUAAAGCUCUAUCAGCAGGGAAGAAAAUGACGGUACCUGACUAAGAAGCCCCGGCUAACUACGUGCCAGCAGCCGCGGUAAUACGUAGGGGGCAAGCGUUAUCCGGAUUUACUGGGUGUAAAGGGAGCGUAGACGGCCAUUCAAGCCAGAUGUGAAAGCCCGGGGCUCAACCCCGGGACUGCAUUUGGAACUGUGUGGCUAGAGUGUCGGAGAGGCAGGCGGAAUUCCUAGUGUAGCGGUGAAAUGCGUAGAUAUUAGGAGGAACACCAGUGGCGAAGGCGGCCUGCUGGGCUUUUACUGACGCUGAGGCUCGAAAGUGUGGGGAGCAAACAGGAUUAGAUACCCGAGUAGAG
Molecule: ribosomal RNA, 450 nt
Filed under: uncultured bacterium
Lineage: Bacteria
Description: bacterial SSU rRNA
Rfam family: Bacterial small subunit ribosomal RNA
Source: RNAcentral